Molecule: ribosomal RNA, 507 nt
Filed under: uncultured bacterium
Lineage: Bacteria
Description: partial 16S ribosomal RNA
Rfam family: Bacterial small subunit ribosomal RNA
Source: RNAcentral
AUUGAACGCUGGCGGCAUGCCUUACACAUGCAAGUCGAACGGCAGCGGGGGAGAAGCUUGCUUUUCCUGCCGGCGAGUGGCGAACGGGUGAGUAAUACAUCGGAACGUGCCCUGUAGUGGGGGAUAACUAGUCGAAAGAUUAGCUAAUACCGCAUACGACCUGAGGGUGAAAGUGGGGGACCGCAAGGCCUCAUGCUAUAGGAGCGGCCGAUGUCUGAUUAGCUAGUUGGUGGGGUAAAGGCCUACCAAGGCGACGAUCAGUAGCUGGUCUGAGAGGACGAUCAGCCACACUGGGACUGAGACACGGCCCAGACUCCUACGGGAGGCAGCAGUGGGGAAUUUUGGACAAUGGCGAAAGCCUGAUCCAGCAAUGCCGCGUGUGUGAAGAAGGCCUUCGGGCUGUAAAGCACUUUUGUCCGGAAAGAAAUGGCUCUGGUUAAUACCUGGGGUCGAUGACGGUACCGGAAGAAUAAGGACCGGCUAACUACGUGCCAGCCGCCGCGGUAA